RNAcentral lists this ribosomal RNA (253 nucleotides) under uncultured bacterium. Its description in RNAcentral is "partial 16S ribosomal RNA". It matches the Rfam family "Bacterial small subunit ribosomal RNA", at positions 524 to 776 of the family's 1533-position model. The record is from RNAcentral.
UACGGAGGGUGCAAGCGUUGUCCGGAUUUAUUGGGUUUAAAGGGUGCGUAGGCGGCCCGUUAAGUCAGUGGUGAAAGCCUCCAGCUCAACUGGAGAACUGCCAUUGAUACUGGCGGGCUUGAGUACAGACGAGGUUGGCGGAAUUGAUUGUGUAGCGGUGAAAUGCAUAGAUACAAGCAAGAACUCCGAUUGCGUAGGCAGCUAACUAGGCUGUAACUGACGCUGAGGCACGAAAGCGUGGGGAGCGAACAGG